AACGCGAAGAACCUUACCCAGGCUUGACAUCCUGCUAAUCACUCCGAAAGGAGAGAGUGCCUUCGGGCCGCAGUGACAGGUGAUGCAUGGCCGUCUUCAGCUCGUGUCGUGAGAUGUUAGGUUAAGUCCUUCAACGAGCGCAACCCUUAUGCUUAGUUGUAUUUUUCUAAGCAGACUGCCCUGGUAACAGGGAGGAAGGGGGGGAUGAUGUCAGGUCAGUAUUUCCCUUACGUCUGGGGCUACAAACACGCUACAAUGGCCGGUACAAAGGGCUGCCAACCCGCGAGGGGGAGCAAAUCCCAUCAAAGCCGGUCUCAGUUCGGAUUGCAGGCUGAAACUCGCCUGCAUGAAGCUGGAAUCGCUAGUAAUGGUAGGUCAGCACACUACCGUGAAUACGUUCCCGGGUCUUGUACACACCG
RNAcentral lists this ribosomal RNA (419 nucleotides) under uncultured bacterium. RNAcentral describes it as "bacterial SSU rRNA". It matches the Rfam family "Bacterial small subunit ribosomal RNA", at positions 958 to 1392 of the family's 1533-position model. The record is from RNAcentral.